RNAcentral lists this ribosomal RNA (441 nucleotides) under Candeina nitida. Its description in RNAcentral is "SSU rRNA". It matches the Rfam family "Eukaryotic small subunit ribosomal RNA", at positions 1214 to 1499 of the family's 1831-position model. The record is from RNAcentral. Lineage: Eukaryota; Foraminifera; Rotaliida; Candeinidae.
CUUACCGGGUCCGGACACACUGAGGAUUGACAGGUAUUAUAUAAUUGCUCUUCGGAGCUUUUAUUGUUAAAUAUGCUAGUCCUUUCAUGAUUAUGUGAUAGGUGGUGCAUGGCCGUUCUUAGUUCGUGGAGUGAUCUGUCUGCUUAAUUGCGUUUCACUAUAGGUCCUAUAUUCUUAAAAUGUGUGCAGUGCAUUGACCCCUUGUUUUUAACAAGCGCGUGUCUUUGUGCUCACACUUUCAUUAGGUCCUGAAAGCAACGAACGUGACCGCAACCUCUUGUUGCCUCAUUUCAAACGCGUACAUACACUGGUUUUCUAAGUAUUACGCUUAUUGAGGCUUUUUUAAACUAGAGGGACCGCUGUCAACUUCUUAAACCAGAGGAAGGUUGCGGCGAUAACAGGUCUGUGAUGCCCUUAGAUGUUCCGGGCUGCACACGUGCU